CAGCCGCCGCGGGAAUACGUAGGUGGCAAGCGUUGUCCGGAAUUAUUGGGCGUAAAGCGCGCGCAGGCGGAUCAGUCAGUCUGUCUUAAAAGUUCGGGGCUUAACCCCGUGAGGGGAUGGAAACUGCUGAUCUAGAGUAUCGGAGAGGAAAGUGGAAUUCCUAGUGUAGCGGUGAAAUGCGUAGAUAUUAGGAAGAACACCAGUGGCGAAGGCGACUUUCUGGACGAAAACUGACGCUGAGGCGCGAAAGCCAGGGGAGCGAACGGGAUUAGAGACCCCGGUAGUCCCUGUCUCUUAUACA
RNAcentral lists this ribosomal RNA (301 nucleotides) under uncultured bacterium. RNAcentral's name for it is "partial 16S ribosomal RNA". It matches the Rfam family "Bacterial small subunit ribosomal RNA", at positions 509 to 809 of the family's 1533-position model. The record is from RNAcentral.